Molecule: long non-coding RNA, 785 nt
Organism: Camelina sativa (false flax)
Lineage: Eukaryota; Viridiplantae; Streptophyta; Magnoliopsida; Brassicales; Brassicaceae
Source: RefSeq, a predicted model, not a curated record
AUAUACAAAAAAAAAAAACUUUUUUUUGCCGUUUUCUCCUUCCUUCCCCUCUCCCUUCUCUCUCGAUGAUAACGGCGAUGGUUUCACCGAUUCACCUCUAAUCCGGAAAAAUCAAUCGAUUUCUUAAACUCAAUUUGGCCGGCAUAAAUGUUAGGGUUCUUGAUGUUUGACACCGCUUUGUUGUCGGAUCGGCUUCCAAUCGCUAAGCCCUAACAUUUGAUGAUUUGGUCUUCACGGCCAACUGGCCUAAGCGGACGGCGAGGUCCACCGGCUAGCGAAUUGGGCACACAAGAUUAUUUUUCAGUAGUUUUGUGUACAUGUAUACCUCGUGGACUGCAGACCCUACAUCCUAUGUUCAUCACUUGGUCUGACAAGUAUUUGCAGUAUUUGAAAUUGCUCUCUAGUCCACUUGGUGUUUUUGUUCAUCCAUCUGGAGAGGAGAAAUUGAUAGAUUAAUGGAUAGAUAUCUGCUUCUUCUUUUUAUUGAGAUGCUGAAAUGGGAUUCAGGAAGAUUGUUAAGAUUGCUCACUCCGUGGGGACCAUAAACAGCAUGGCUCACAUGAAGCGGUUUAUGUAUGGGAAGGUCGACUUGGAUUAUGUUCUUGGAAUUGGAGGGUUUGAUCUAGAAAGGUCCGGAAGACUAAUCUCUUAUUACAAGUCACCACAAUGUUCAUGAUCAUGAACACGGUAUGUUAUAGGAUUACCAACAGAAUAGAAGAUUAAAAGUUGUGUAACAUGUAAAAUAUUUUUGUUUCCCUUUAAUAUAAGUAAUUAAAAUAAUUGUU